Molecule: unclassified non-coding RNA, 507 nt
Filed under: Hevea brasiliensis (rubber tree)
Lineage: Eukaryota; Viridiplantae; Streptophyta; Magnoliopsida; Malpighiales; Euphorbiaceae
Source: RNAcentral
GGAAGAAUGAGAUAUUGGAGACUGCUGAGGGCCCAGGAUCUGCAAAUAACAACUCUCAAAACCCUCUUGUAUUGGCAGCAAAUAGAACGAAGCGCCCAGAUAUUCUUCAUGGAUUUAGGGUGUAUGAAGGUGGCUGGGACAUUGCCAAUCCUAAUUACUGGGCUUCUGUUGGGUUUACUGGUGCAACUGGUUUCAUUCUUUCUAUCUUCUGGUUCAUUUCCUUUGGCAUUGCUCUUCUUAUUCAUCGUUGCUGUGGAUGGAAAUUAAACCUUAAAGGCGAAGAAUCAAAGACUUCACAGUGGAUUUGCCUAGCAUUACUUGUUGUUUUCACAUCUGCUGCAGCCAUUGGCUGCAUACUUCUAUGUAUUGGACAGAAUAAUUUUUACAAUGAAGGUUUGCAUACUUUGAAGUAUGUUGUAAACCAGUCGGACUACACUGUACACACGCUUAAAAAUGUUACAGAAUAUCUCUCACUUGCAAAGACCAUUAGUGUGGCCCAGGUGUUCC